RNAcentral lists this transfer RNA (67 nucleotides) under Dicranocentrus wangi. RNAcentral describes it as "tRNA-Tyr". The record is from RNAcentral. Lineage: Eukaryota; Metazoa; Arthropoda; Collembola; Entomobryomorpha; Entomobryidae.
GAUAGAAUGGCCGAUUAGGUAUUAAACUGUAAAUUUAAUUAUGAAGUUGUAUAUAUUUCUUCUGUUA